GAUGAAGAACGCAGCGAAAUGCGAUAAGUAAUGUGAAUUGCAGAAUUCAGUGAAUCAUCGAAUCUUUGAACGCACAUUGCGCCCGCCAGUAUUCUGGCGGGCAUGCCUGUUCGAGCGUCAUUUCAACCCUCAAGCCCAGCUUGGUGUUGGGGAUCGGCACAGGCGCCCUCGGGCGCCAGCCGUCCCCUAAAUCUAGUGGCGGUCCCGCUGCAGCCUCCUCUGCGUAGUAGUUUUCUCCUCGCAAGGGCAGCUCGGUGGCGACCUCGCCGUAAAACCCCCAACUUCUGAAAGGUUGACCUCGAAUCAGGUAGGAAUACCCGCUGAACUUAAGCAUAUCAAUAAGCGGAGGA
Molecule: unclassified non-coding RNA, 350 nt
Filed under: soil metagenome
Description: partial contains 5.8S ribosomal RNA, internal transcribed spacer 2, and large subunit ribosomal RNA
Rfam family: 5.8S ribosomal RNA (bases 1-120)
Source: RNAcentral